UAACGCGUAAAGAACUUGCCUCACAGCUAGGGACAACAUUUAGAAAUGAAUGCUAAUACCUGAUAUUAUGAUUUUAAGGCAUCUUAGAAUUAUGAAAGCUAUAAGCACUGUGGGAGAGCUUUGCGUCCCAUUAGCUAGUUGGAGAGGUAACAGCUCACCAAGGCGAUGAUGGGUAGCCGGCCUGAGAGGGUGAACGGCCACAAGGGAACUGAGACACGGCCCUU
This 224-nucleotide ribosomal RNA is filed under the name uncultured bacterium. Its description in RNAcentral is "partial 16S ribosomal RNA". It matches the Rfam family "Bacterial small subunit ribosomal RNA", at positions 111 to 334 of the family's 1533-position model. The record is from RNAcentral.